GAAUAACAUACUUCAAGAUGGAUCCUCUAGCUUUAGUUGAAUGCAGCUUGAUUAAUUGUUCUGUUUUUGCAUGCUGCAAUAUGCAGUUGGGGUGCGCCACAAAGUGCACUAUUUGAGACAAAUGAUUGAGCAGAGAAGUUUCUGAAAGGCCCACCUGUUGGAAUUUCUCCGCGGAGUCUGUUGAAAG
Long non-coding RNA from Rosa chinensis, 187 nucleotides. RefSeq lists it as uncharacterized. The record is from RefSeq and is a predicted model, not a curated record. The transcript has 3 exons. NCBI's taxonomy places the organism in Eukaryota, Viridiplantae, Streptophyta, Magnoliopsida, Rosales, Rosaceae.